RNAcentral lists this long non-coding RNA (2840 nucleotides) under Daucus carota (carrot). Its description in RNAcentral is "long non-coding RNA (DCAR_LNC003358)". Lineage: Eukaryota; Viridiplantae; Streptophyta; Magnoliopsida; Apiales; Apiaceae. The record is from RNAcentral.
AUUGUGGGUCAUUUUUAGCUGCUAGCCAUGUAUGAUAUUGGACUUCCUCGGGUAGUUUUGGCACUGUCACUGGUGUUGAUGUUGCAAGGCAUAGGCUGGCGCCUGGCAGCUUGGUGCUCAUUGUUGUCUAUUUGCUACUGAUAUACAACUUUUUUUUCUUUGAUUUGUCGGGGCUCAGUCGAAUACCCAAUAUGUAACAGACUCUAAUGGAAGUUAUUGUUUCUUGAUUUUUGUGUUGUGCCUGUCUAGAUGAGUUUGCAGUUCUGUGCAUAUUCUUAAAAUAUCAUUCUUCAUAGUUUUGGAUAGGGAUUAUGUGUGGGAUAAGAACUUAGAUACAUACAAAGAGUGGACAUCUAGGAGGCCGUUGAAAGAAAGGGAAGGGCAAACAAGCCAGAGGAUAAUGGUGACUUGCUGCUAGUCUGACAAAUUCAAUGUCCCAAACUUAUAUAUAGUGGACUGCAUUCAAUACGCUGUGGUUAGGCUCAGUCAAAGGAGUUAUAUCACAGUGUGAAGAUAUCUGUGUAUAGUUCUCCAUUAUCUGCAGAUUACAGCUGAUGGUUAAAUUGUGAAUCAGGUCCUUGUGGAUGCAGAUUGCACACCUGAUGGAUAAAUUAUGCACAUCCAGAAAUUGGAAAAUUGGGGCUGGACAAUCCUUCAGCAAUGUGUAGUUGAUGCGGUGGAAAUGAACAAUAUAAAUUAUCUUCAGGUUCUGGUGCAUAUUUGCUUAAAGACACUCUGUGUAGGUUUCAUUUUGGAACGAGUGCAAUGGUGUGUUCUUUGUGUUCUUAAUUUAUUGGACUUGAGAUUAGAAGAAACUGUCAAUAAAACCUUCUGCAGAGUUUUUAGAGCUUGUGCUUCUAUAGAUUUCCAUAAAGUUAGAAGAAUGAUUUUAUUGAUAUAUAGGCAUGUAAUUGUAUUAUUUGCAACUUGUACAUGAUGUCAAGUUUCUAGAUAUAGCACCACUUUUUAGGAAUUGACUGUAUAGAAUUAAUGAUAAAGUAUUUAGAACACAAAAUUUUAGCUUAUCUAGAUUAGGAAAAUUAUGUGAUGAUUAUGGAAUGUGGUUCUUGCUUGUUUUUCCCACUUCCUAAUUCCUAAGAAACAAAUUUUGUGAGUUGAGAUGCGUUAUCCGUAGUCAUUAGAUGAAAAUGUCCUGUUUUAUCCAUUCAUAUGGAUCUUCUUUCUCAGAUCUAAAUCCAACUCGCUUCUCAUUUUUGACAGUUACCUAUUCAGUAUUAAGUAGUAAAAGACUGUAUAAAGAAAAAUCUGCAUCAGGCGAUCUUGCAGUUGAAUUAUUUCACUACUUGUAAUUAUGUUCUUUAUACUUUUGUGAUAAAAUGAUUAGUUUCUUCUUGAGUUUCUACGUGUGCAAUUAAGAAUGUAUCGCAAAUUGCGGGUCAUUUUUAGCUGCUAUGUAUGAUAUCAGACUUCCUUGGGUAGUUCUGGCACUGUCACUGGGGUUGAUGUUGCAAGGCAUAGGCUGGCGCCUGGCAGCUUGGAGCUCAUUGUUGUCUAUUUGCAGCUGAUAUACAACUUGUUUUUCUUUGAUUCGUCGGGGCUCAGUCAAAUUCCAAAUAUGUAACAGACUCUUAUAGAAGUUAUUGUUUCUUGAUUUUUGUAUUGUGCCUGUCUAGAUGAGUUUUCAGUUCUGUGCAUUUUCUUAAAAUAUCAUUCUUCAUAGUUUUGGAUAGAGAUUAUGUGUUGGAUAAGAACUUAGAUACAUACAAAGAGUGGACAUCUGGGAAGACUUUGAAAGAAAGGGAAGGGCAAACAAACCAUGGGAAAAUGCUAACUUGCAGCUAGUCUGACAAAUUCAAUGUCCCGAACUUAUAUAUAAUGGACUGCUUUCUGUACGCUGUGGUUAGGCUCAGUAAAAGGAGUUAUAUCACAGUGUGAAGAUAUCUGUAUAUAGUUCUCCAUUAUCUGCGGAUUACAGCUGAUGGUUAAAUUGUGAAUCAGGUCCUUGUGGAUGCAGAUUGCACACAUGAUGUAUCAAUUAUCACAUCCAGAAAUUGGAAAACUGGGGCUGGACAAUCCUUCAGCAAUGUGUAGUUGAUGCGAUGAAAAUGACCAAUAUAAAUUUUCUUCAGGUUCUGGUGCAUAUUUGCUUAAAGACACUCUGUGUAGGUUUCAUUUUGGAACGAUUACAAUGGUGUGUAUUUGUGUUCUUAAUUUAUUGGACUUGAGAUUAGAGGAAACUGUCAAUAUAACCUUCUGCAGAGUUUUAUAGAGCUUGUGCUUCGUCUAGAUUUCCAUAAAGUUAGAAAAACAAUUUUAUUGAUAGGCACCUAAUUAUAUUAUUUGUAAGAGUUUCAAGCAAUAUAACCUAGAGUUAUACUUGUACAUGAUGUCAAGUUUCUAGAUAUAGCACCACUCUUUAGGCAUUGACUGUAGUCUGUAUAGAAGAUUUACAUCUUGGUUCUGUCAACUAUUUGUAUGGCAUCAGUGUUUUAUCAUCAGUAGCAAGUUCAGGACAGUAGAUUCUUUCUUCAGUCUGAUUUGAAACCUAUGAGGCAUGACUUUGGUGUCACUCCUUAUUAGUGAUGUCUAUACUAUCUAUACAUUGUCGCAUGGCAGCACCUGCUCAUUGCUAAUCCUCCUCUUUCUCAAUUUUUUUCCUCAUAUUCUCCUUGCAGUUGCUACCGCAGACAAAUGGUUUUAAAUUGCUUAAAAUUAAAGGUCUCUUGUUUGCAGAACUUGCAGCUUUUACUAUUCCUUGGAUUGAAACUUUUAAAUUUGGAACAAGGCCAAGAAAUCAUAUAUGUCUUUUUAGUGAUGUAGUUUAAGAGCUGCUUCUGAAAAAGGAUGUGGAGCAGUACCUCUUGCAAAAUAAACUGCUG